GAUCCUGGCUCAGGACGAACGCUGGCGGCGCGCCUAACACAUGCAAGUCGAACGAGCGAGAGAGAGCUUGCUUUCUCGAGCGAGUGGCGAACGGGUGAGUAACGCGUGAGGAACCUGCCUCAAAGAGGGGGGACAACAGUUGGAAACGACUGCUAAUACCGCAUAAGCCCACGACCCGGCAUCGGGUUUGAGGGAAAAGGGAAGCAAUCCGCUUUGAGAUGGCCUCGCGUCCGAUUAGCUAGUUGGUGG
RNAcentral lists this ribosomal RNA (249 nucleotides) under uncultured bacterium. RNAcentral's name for it is "partial 16S ribosomal RNA". It matches the Rfam family "Bacterial small subunit ribosomal RNA", at positions 15 to 255 of the family's 1533-position model. The record is from RNAcentral.